Molecule: unclassified non-coding RNA, 253 nt
Filed under: uncultured Rikenellaceae bacterium
Lineage: Bacteria; Pseudomonadati; Bacteroidota; Bacteroidia; Bacteroidales; Rikenellaceae
Description: contains 16S-23S intergenic spacer region
Rfam family: Bacterial small subunit ribosomal RNA
Source: RNAcentral
UACGGAGGAUCCAAGCGUUAUCCGGAUUUAUUGGGUUUAAAGGGUGCGUAGGCGGCUCCUUAAGUUAGAGGUGAAAUCCCGUGGCUCAACCACGGAACUGCCUCUGAUACUGGGGAGCUAGCAAGUAGAUGCGGUAGGCGGAAUGUGUGGUGUAGCGGUGAAAUGCUUAGAUAUCACACAGAACACCGAUUGCGAAGGCAGCUUACCAAUCUACAUUGGACGCUGAGGCACGAAAGCGUGGGGAGCAAACAGG